This 1373-nucleotide ribosomal RNA is filed under the name uncultured bacterium. RNAcentral's name for it is "bacterial SSU rRNA". It matches the Rfam family "Bacterial small subunit ribosomal RNA", at positions 28 to 1381 of the family's 1533-position model. The record is from RNAcentral.
GAUGAACGCUGGCGGCGUGCCUAAUACAUGCAAGUCGAGCGAACGGACGAGAAGCUUGCUUCUCUGAUGUUAGCGGCGGACGGGUGAGUAACACGUGGAUAACCUACCUAUAAGACUGGGAUAACUUCGGGAAACCGGAGCUAAUACCGGAUAAUAUUUUGAACCGCAUGGUUCAAAAGUGAAAGACGGUCUUGCUGUCACUUAUAGAUGGAUCCGCGCUGCAUUAGCUAGUUGGUAAGGUAACGGCUUACCAAGGCAACGAUGCAUAGCCGACCUGAGAGGGUGAUCGGCCACACUGGAACUGAGACACGGUCCAGACUCCUACGGGAGGCAGCAGUAGGGAAUCUUCCGCAAUGGGCGAAAGCCUGACGGAGCAACGCCGCGUGAGUGAUGAAGGUCUUCGGAUCGUAAAACUCUGUUAUUAGGGAAGAACAUAUGUGUAAGUAACUGUGCACAUCUUGACGGUACCUAAUCAGAAAGCCACGGCUAACUACGUGCCAGCAGCCGCGGUAAUACGUAGGUGGCAAGCGUUAUCCGGAAUUAUUGGGCGUAAAGCGCGCGUAGGCGGUUUUUUAAGUCUGAUGUNGAAGCCCACGGCUCAACCGUGGGAGGGUCAUUGGGAACUGGAAAACUUGAGUGCAGAAGAGGAAAGUGGAAUUCCAUGUGUAGCGGUGAAAUGCGCAGAGAUAUGGAGGAACACCAGUGGCGAAGGCGACUUUCUGGUCUGUAACUGACGCUGAUGUGCGAAAGCGUGGGGAUCAAACAGGAUUAGAUACCCUGGUAGUCCACGCCGUAAACGAUGAGUGCUAAGUGUUAGGGGGUUUCCGCCCCUUAGUGCUGCAGCUAACGCAUUAAGCACUCCGCCUGGGGAGUACGACCGCAAGGUUGAAACUCAAAGGAAUUGACGGGGACCCGCACAAGCGGUGGAGCAUGUGGUUUAAUUCGAAGCAACGCGAAGAACCUUACCAAAUCUUGACAUCCUUUGACAACUCUAGAGAUAGAGCCUUCCCCUUCGGGGGACAAAGUGACAGGUGGUGCAUGGUUGUCGUCAGCUCGUGUCGUGAGAUGUUGGGUUAAGUCCCGCAACGAGCGCAACCCUUAAGCUUAGUUGCCAUCAUUAAGUUGGGCACUCUAAGUUGACUGCCGGUGACAAACCGGAGGAAGGUGGGGAUGACGUCAAAUCAUCAUGCCCCUUAUGAUUUGGGCUACACACGUGCUACAAUGGACAAUACAAAGGGCAGCGAAACCGCGAGGUCAAGCAAAUCCCAUAAAGUUGUUCUCAGUUCGGAUUGUAGUCUGCAACUCGACUACAUGAAGCUGGAAUCGCUAGUAAUCGUAGAUCAGCAUGCUACGGUGAAUACGUUCCCGGGUCU